AAGAUAGUAGUGUAAUUUUGCACACUUGAUUUUCAUUCAAGUAGAAUAUUAAUAUCUAUCUUU
This 63-nucleotide transfer RNA is filed under the name Chiton albolineatus. RNAcentral's name for it is "tRNA-Glu". The record is from RNAcentral. Lineage: Eukaryota; Metazoa; Mollusca; Polyplacophora; Chitonida; Chitonidae.